Molecule: ribosomal RNA, 210 nt
Filed under: uncultured Pseudomonadota bacterium
Lineage: Bacteria; Pseudomonadati; Pseudomonadota
Description: uncultured proteobacterium partial 16S ribosomal RNA
Rfam family: Bacterial small subunit ribosomal RNA
Source: RNAcentral
CACGCAGGCGGUCGGAUAAGUCAGAUGUGAAAGCCCCCGGGCGUCAACCUGGGAACUGCAUUUGAAACUGUCCGACUAGAGUCUUGUAGAGGGGGGUAGAAUUCCAGGUGUAGCGGUGAAAUGCGUAGAGAUCUGGAGGAAUACCGGUGGCGAAGGCGGCCCCCCUGGACAAAGACUGACGCUCAGGUGCGAAAGCGUGGGGAGCAAACA